UGCAAGUCGAGCGGGCAUAGCAAUAUGUCAGCGGCAGACGGGUGAGUAACGCGUGGGAACGUACCUUUUGGUUCGGAACAACUGAGGGAAACUUCAGCUAAUACCGGAUAAGCCCUUACGGGGAAAGAUUUAUCGCCGAAAGAUCGGCCCGCGUCUGAUUAGCUAGUUGGUGAGGUAAUGGCUCACCAAGGCGACGAUCAGUAGCUGGUCUGAGAGGAUGAUCAGCCACAUUGGGACUGAGACACGGCCCAAACUCCUACGGGAGGCAGCAGUGGGGAAUAUUGGACAAUGGGCGCAAGCCUGAUCCAGCCAUGCCGCGUGAGUGAUGAAGGCCCUAGGGUUGUAAAGCUCUUUUGUGCGGGAAGAUAAUGACGGUACCGCAAGAAUAAGCCCCGGCUAACUUCGUGCCAGCAGCCGCGGUAAUACGAAGGGGGCUAGCGUUGCUCGGAAUCACUGGGCGUAAAGGGUGCGUAGGCGGGUCUUUAAGUCAGGGGUGAAAUCCUGGAGCUCAACUCCAGAACUGCCUUUGAUACUGAAGAUCUUGAGUUCGGGAGAGGUGAGUGGAACUGCGAGUGUAGAGGUGAAAUUCGUAGAUAUUCGCAAGAACACCAGUGGCGAAGGCGGCUCACUGGCCCGAUACUGACGCUGAGGCACGAAAGCGUGGGGAGCAAACAGGAUUAGAUACCCUGGUAGUCCACGCCGUACACGAUGAAUGCCAGCCGUUAGUGGGUUUACUCACUAGUGGCGCAGCUAACGCUUUAAGCAUUCCGCCUGGGGAGUACGGUCGCAAGAUUAAAACUCAGAGGAAUUGACGGGCGCCCGCACAAGCGGUGGAGCAUGUGGUUUAAUUCGACGCAACGCGCAGAACCUUACCAGCCCU
RNAcentral lists this ribosomal RNA (880 nucleotides) under Bradyrhizobium elkanii. Its description in RNAcentral is "bacterial SSU rRNA". It matches the Rfam family "Bacterial small subunit ribosomal RNA", at positions 56 to 981 of the family's 1533-position model. The record is from RNAcentral. Lineage: Bacteria; Pseudomonadati; Pseudomonadota; Alphaproteobacteria; Hyphomicrobiales; Nitrobacteraceae.